Molecule: ribosomal RNA, 491 nt
Filed under: uncultured bacterium
Lineage: Bacteria
Description: partial 16S ribosomal RNA
Rfam family: Bacterial small subunit ribosomal RNA
Source: RNAcentral
GUGAACGCUGGCGGUAGGCCUAACACAUGCAAGUCGAACGGCAGCACCGUAAGAGCUUGCUCUUACGGGUGGCGAGUGGCGGACGGGUGAGGAAUCCAUCGGAAUCUACUUUUUCGUGGGGGAUAACGUAGGGAAACUUACGCUAAUACCGCAUACGACCUACGGGUGAAAGCAGGGGAUCUUCGGACCUUGCGCGAUUGAAUGAGCCGAUGUCGGAUUAGCUAGUUGGCGGGGUAAAGGCCCACCAAGGCGACGAUCCGUAGCUGGUCUGAGAGGAUGAUCAGCCACACUGGAACUGAGACACGGUCCAGACUCCUACGGGAGGCAGCAGUGGGGAAUAUUGGACAAUGGGCGCAAGCCUGAUCCAGCCAUACCGCGUGGGUGAAGAAGGCCUUCGGGUUGUAAAGCCCUUUUGUUGGGAAAGAAAAGCAGCAGGUUAAUACCCCGCUGUUCUGACGGUACCCAAAGAAUAAGCACCGGCUAACUUCGUG